CAUUUCUUCUGCUAGAAAAGACCAGCCAAACAGCUUUAUUUUUCAGUGUAUUUUUGGAAUGUGUUUCUAUGAAGCUGAAAUGGCAGUGUUGAGUCAUAAGCUCUGGUAUUCAUCUAUCCAGACCCUGCACAGGUAUCUGGAAUGCAAAAGGCUGGAAAAGAGAGAUAUGAACUUCUGGUCCUUUAUCAACUCAGUAUGUCCCAUAUUCCACCAAGUACUUUCCUUCUCCAGAAGCAACUUACAGAACAACUUCAGCAAGCAAUAGAAACACCUCUAAUUCAAGUAUUGCCACACAAAUGUCUGACACUGUGGAAAACAAGCCACAUUUUGAAAAGACAUCUUAUCUACCAUUACAAAAAUCUUUUAAUCAUUGAUGAAGGAAGUUCAGCUCUCCAUUUAACAUAGUUCACUCUGAAAUGCAAGGAGUAGGCAGCUGUGCCACUCAGGAUCACAUGCUUACUAAAAUCCCAGACCAGCCAGAAUUCUGGAGACAAAACCCAGGGCAGAACCACUGCUGGCAAACUUGUAUAAACAUGUAAAGAACCAUUCAGCCUGCCACCUAAGUGAGAUGCUUGUCACUCUAAGAAUACCCAUCCCACUUUGGGUCAUCUUAUCCCCCCCAAACAUUGAAUGAAAGUAGAAUAGAACAUAGCAAAUAAAUAUAUAUGCUUCUAGUGAACACGUAGGUAGCACUGGGUUGCAUACCCCACUUGAAACAAUACAGAGGGGGAAGAAGAGUCAAAAGCAACACCUAAAUACAUUUUCUGUCCUUCUCUGUUCCAAUAUUUCAGACAUUUCCUUAUAUACAAGAGUUCGACAAAGCACAUUUGCAACCACAAACUCUUUGUACUGACAUGAUCUAGAAAAAACUUAGACAAGAAAGGAAGCUUACAGCCUUGAUCUCAUCUGUGAGCCCUCAAACAAUACCCGUCAUCUAUCAAAGAGAACAUAUAAAAUGGGAUUUCAGUGAAUACCAGCAAGAAAAGGCUUGGGAUUUGUAGUGAGAGCCCAGACAGGUCCCAUCUAGGCUCUCUAGAUGCCCGAAAUCACAGAAGAGAGUGCCUGGCCACAACACCUAGAACAAAAUGCACACAACAAAAUAUCACCUCCCUGCUCCUGCUGGCCAGGAAGCCACUGGAUGCCUUGGCCACCUGGGCACACUACUGGCUCAUGCUCAGCUGUCACCUCACAUCCCCAGAUCCUUUCCCUUGGUGCAGCCUGCCAGCCACUCUAUCCCAAGCCUGUAGUGCUGCCUGGGGUUGUUGUGACCAAAGAGCAGGACUCAGCACUUGGUCUCAUUGAAGCUCAUCCCAUUGCCCUCCAACUGGCAAUCAGCCUGUCCAGAUCCCUCUGCAGGGCCUUGCUGCCUCCAGACAGAUCAACACUUCCACCCAACUCAGUGUUAUCACAAACUUACUGCAAACUUACUCAAUCUCCUCAUCCCAAUUGUCAAUAAAAAUAUUAAACAGGACAUCUCUAUACUCCUGGGUCUGGGGAAAUUUCUGAUAGGUAUCUUGGCAGUUUCAGCUGACUUAGUGCAAGGCAGCUACUCACAGCGCAAAAUGGAUAAAGACCACACAGUGCUCUCAUCAGCAAAUUCCCAGGUAGUUCAACACCUCCGCUCUAUUCAGAAUGUUUACAGCAUGCUUUUUUCAAGUCAUGCUGAUCAGAAACUCUUCUACUUGUAUGUCAAAGAUUUUCAGUUUUUUAAAUGAUUUGGAAAGACACAGAACUUACUGUCACCAACACUUUGCACACUACCAGAGCUAAC
Long non-coding RNA from Gallus gallus (chicken), 1771 nucleotides. Lineage: Eukaryota; Metazoa; Chordata; Aves; Galliformes; Phasianidae. The record is from Ensembl.